UGUGAUCAAGGUCCUGAAUCCCAGGCAUUGAGGCAGAAGGAGAUGCCGUGCCAGGUGGAUCUGGAAGAUGCAGCUGCACGUAGGACUGGAGAGUAGCUGGGGGACCGCCAAGGAAGAGGCUGGGAUGGAGCCCAAGGAGUGGGCUGGGGGCAGUGAGGCCGGAGAAGAGGGUCCACUUGGACUUCUCAAUGGGGAGCAGAUUGGAUGGGACUGAGGCUGGGGUAACGGGAGAAGCCAGGGGCCAGUCUCAAGAGACUAGGAGAUGGUGGUGCCCAAAACUUGGGGAGGGGAGAGGAUGGCUGCAGCUUCAUGCCUGUUGAUGUCAAGGGGCCAGCAGGACCCUGCAUGAAGACGUCCACGUGGCCAGAAAGGCAGGCUCUGCCGGCCAAAGCGAGGAGAGAGUGCUCACGAUUCAUUAUAAAAGUGAGGAAGUGUCCUCUGAGCACGCCUCCAAGGCGGUUCUGCGCAGCUCCUGCUGGGGCAGCUGAGAGCGAACGAUGUGCUGAGUGAACUCCUGAGGUUCAGCAAACCUGCGCAAAGGUUCCAGGGACCCAUCUUCUGAGGGGCUUCUCCUGCAGGUGGUCCAGGCAGCCAUCAAAGACGGGGCUGCAGGGGGGUCUGGGGCCCAGGAUGACAUUUGUUAUUCAGUAAGUGAAGAGAGAAGGCUACAAAAAUU
This 676-nucleotide long non-coding RNA is filed under the name Homo sapiens (human). Its description in RNAcentral is "HSALNT0269489". The record is from RNAcentral. Lineage: Eukaryota; Metazoa; Chordata; Mammalia; Primates; Hominidae.